GAGCGCAUGGCAUAGUCUGGAAUUGCGCGGGCCUGCGGAGCCCGAGGUCGAGGGUUCAAAUCCCUCUGCGCUCG
RNAcentral lists this transfer RNA (74 nucleotides) under Candidatus Heimdallarchaeota archaeon. Its description in RNAcentral is "tRNA-Arg". It matches the Rfam family "tRNA". From Rfam's summary of the family: Transfer RNA (tRNA) molecules are approximately 80 nucleotides in length. Their secondary structure includes four short double-helical elements and three loops (D, anti-codon, and T loops). The record is from RNAcentral. RNAcentral also lists the same sequence under 2 other names. Lineage: Archaea; Promethearchaeati; Candidatus Heimdallarchaeota.